This 155-nucleotide ribosomal RNA is filed under the name uncultured bacterium. Its description in RNAcentral is "partial 16S ribosomal RNA". The record is from RNAcentral.
CACGGAGUUAGCCGGUGCUUAUUCAUAUGGUACCGUCAGUUGACCUGGAAAGGCCCUUUUUCGUCCCAUAUAAAAGAAGUUUACAAUCCAGAGGACCUUCAUCCUCCACGCGGCAUGGCUGGUUCAGACUUGCGUCCAUUGACCAAUAUUCCUUA